Numida meleagris (helmeted guineafowl) is the source of this 1405-nucleotide long non-coding RNA. Lineage: Eukaryota; Metazoa; Chordata; Aves; Galliformes; Numididae. The record is from Ensembl.
CCCUGGUCUCAUUUACAUAGGUAGAUUGAGAUGUUGGAAGUGUAAUGAGCAUAUGAAGAUGAUGAAUUGUUUUCCUCAGUGCUGGUGCGUUUCUGUAAAUGUUUGAUUAGUUUUGAAUGGAUUACUGUUAGAUUAUCUGGUUCAGGGGUUAAAGUGAGCAGCUCUCUGCUCCCAAAGCUUUCAUGAUCCCUUGCUGACAGAUUUUAAAAUUCAUACAGCGAUAUCAGUGCUGCAAAAGCUAGGGGUAUUCUUUGCAACAGAUGUUUAGUAAUUAAACAUACGGUUUCCCUGUUUGGAAGUUGCUUGGGAAAUUUAAAUCAGAAUGAUUUGUUUACCGUAGUUUGAGGGAAUUACAGUUUCUAAAAAAUAAUAUACUUUUGCCCCUAAAGUGCUGAAGUUUUUCCCCCAGUGACACUAAUUAAAAAUGAGCAAAACACACACAUGCCCUCACAAUAAUUCAGAUGUUUAACGCCCUGGCAGGCAGAUGCGAAGCUAUUAAAAGCAGAGGUUCCUCUCAUUUUCUCCUUUGGUAAAUUAAUGAGAAGUACUCAGAAAAACAUAUUUGAUUGGACAUCCCAUGCACAGAUGCUGAGGCAGAGCAGGGAGAAGCUGAGCAACGCGGGUGUGCGUGUUGCACGUCAGCUCCUGGUGACGUGGCAAGCCCUGCGAGCAAAUGAUGUUGGAGAAGCACAGAAGUUGUCACUGUGAGCUUGCUGCUCCUGUGCUGGCGCUGGCAGGUGUCUGCAGGGGACACCUGAAGGCAGCGGGAGCGCUGGGCCCUGCCCAGUGCAGAGGCCUGCAUCUCACCUCCUCCUGCAGCCCACACUGCGGCAGAGGGCUCUGUGGAAACUGAACACAAGCCUUCAUGGCCACAACUUCCAUUGUUAUCUCGUGCCUGACCCCAGCCCCACUGCCGCCCUUCCCAGCCAGGAGAGCAGCGGCCCGAGGAGUCGAUCGCGCGGCUGCAGCUAAGCCCGGCCGAGCCUCGUGCCAUGCCGCGCUUUGUCAGCCCUGUGUACAGCUCCCCGGCUUGUCUGGCAAUCAUCUUGCUACCCUCAGUAUUGUGUGCUUUCAUGCAAGACGAUGUCCUACGCUGAUCGAGAUGGCUAGAAAAGCCAAAGGAACAAAAUCCUUUAUUACCCGAGCUGAGAAAAAGCUGAAGAUUUGUUCCUCAAAAAGAGAAGAAGAAUUAUGCCGAAGAAUGAUAGAGAUCAUCAUAAGCUCAACACUGCAUGCACAAAAAGGCAUAGUGCAAACAGUGGAAAAAAGUCACGCACUUAUCCAGCCUGGCCAAGAAAUCUAGAUUUCUAAGAAAGAACAUGAAGAGCAAAGGACAAACACUUAGGCUAGAAAAAUGAAAAAGAUGAUGCAAAAAUUGUAGCUAUUCUAUGAAAAUGUGUUUUUG